Molecule: ribosomal RNA, 559 nt
Filed under: uncultured bacterium
Lineage: Bacteria
Description: bacterial SSU rRNA
Rfam family: Bacterial small subunit ribosomal RNA
Source: RNAcentral
GCGGACGGGUGAGUAACACGUGACCAACCUAUCUUCAUGGCGGGGGACAACCUGGGGAAACUCGGGCUAAUACCGCGUAACGUCAUCGUGCCGCAUGGCACUUUGAUCAAAGAUGGCCUCUUUACAAUGCUAUCACCUGGAGAGGGGGUCGCGGAGUAUCAGCUUGUUGGUGAGGUAACGGCUCACCAAGGCGAUGACGCUUAGCGGGUCUGAGAGGACGACCCGUCACAUUGGGACUGAGAUACGGCCCAGACUCCUACGGGAGGCAGCAGUGGGGAAUAUUGCGCAAUGGCCGAAAGGCUGACGCAGCGACGCCGCGUGUGGGAGGAAGCCCUUCGGGGUGUAAACCACUGUCAGGGGGGAAGAAACUCGUCUGCGGGAAUAUCGCAGGCGAUUGACGGUACCCCCAGAGGAAGCACCGGCUAACUCCGUGCCAGCAGCCGCGGUAAUACGGAGGGUGCAAGCGUUGUUCGGAAUUACUGGGCGUAAAGCGCGGGCAGGCGGUCUUUUAAGUCCCCUGUGAAACUCCGGAGCUCAACUCCGGACAUGCAGGAGAUAC